UACGUAGGGUGCGAGCGUUAAUCGGAAUUACUGGGCGUAAAGCGUGCGCAGGCGGUGAUGUAAGACCGAUGUGAAAUCCCCGGGCUUAACCUGGGAACUGCAUUGGUGACUGCAUUGCUGGAGUAUGGCAGAGGGGGGUGGAAUUCCGCGUGUAGCAGUGAAAUGCGUAGAUAUGCGGAGGAACACCGAUGGCGAAGGCAAUCCCCUGGGCCUGCACUGACGCUCAUGCACGAAAGCGUGGGGAGCAAACAGG
Molecule: ribosomal RNA, 253 nt
Filed under: uncultured bacterium
Lineage: Bacteria
Description: partial 16S ribosomal RNA
Rfam family: Bacterial small subunit ribosomal RNA
Source: RNAcentral